Molecule: unclassified non-coding RNA, 912 nt
Filed under: Hevea brasiliensis (rubber tree)
Lineage: Eukaryota; Viridiplantae; Streptophyta; Magnoliopsida; Malpighiales; Euphorbiaceae
Source: RNAcentral
GCCAAUAAACAACUAUUUCAGAAACUAAAGAGGUGUUCUUUAUUUGUAAAUAUAAGGUCAAACAUAAAAAUCCAAGAAAAUCAUACCCAAUUAUUUAACUAAAGGGCAGCAGCCAUCACAAAAUGAAGACACAAGAUCAAAGCUCAAGAAACAACUAUGGUGUUUAAUGGACACCAACCAAAUAUAUUCAAUGUAGACUAGACCAGCUCUUGAGGGAUCAAAUCAUCCACCUUUCAAAAUGAUUGCACCAUACAUAUACUAAUAAUCUCAAAUCUACUUCUAUCUGUCCCCCAAAAAUAGAAUUCUGAAACAACAGAAUUGCAGCACCUUUCUACUAAAACAAUACUUUCAUCUGAAAUUUCACAAAUCACAAAAUUCCACCAUGCUUGGGAUCUAUUUGCUUUGGGUGAAUAUUUUACUGCAAAAUGUUUUCUACAAUUUUAGGUAUUUUUGGGCAGAUGGGAAAAGUGGUCAAUAGAAAAUGUUUCCUGAGUCAAAAGGAAAACUAUGGAUGUGUUAUUUAUAGACAGCUAAAUUUUUUUUAGAAAAUUGUUUCCAAGAAAACUUGAAAAAAGAGUUUCGUCUUCAAAUGUGAUCUUUUUCCUAAUAGAUAAUUGAAAACCAUUUUUCUAAUUUUUCAAAGCCAUAACUGACCCUUGGAAAACAGGUAUAACAGGUUUUCCACUGUUUUGAACACAUGGUUUCCACAUGGAAAAUACAGAACUCCAGCUUUCGCAAAUGGAAUGAUGCCCUUUAUCUAACAUUUACUCAACAUUUGGCUGGGUUCGAGUCCUAGCCCCUAAAUACUUCAUUUUUUAAGUCUCAUUUUUCUUAUCUUAUUCUUAUUCUUCUUACUUUUUUUCCCUGUUCACUAUACACUAUGUUUUUUUCCCCCUGCCAUAGUAAAGUUUC